UACAGAGGGUGCUAGCGUUGUUCGGAAUCAUUGGGCGUAAAGGGCGUGUAGGCGGUUUGUUAAGUCAUGUGUGAAAUCCCUCGGCUCAACCGGGGAACGACGCAUGAAACUGGCAAGCUAGAGUACCAAAGAGGGGGGUGGAAUUCCCGGUGUAGCGGUGAAAUGCGUAGAUAUCAGGAGGAACACCGGUGGCGAAGGCGGAUCUCUGGGCCUUACCUGACGCUGAGGCACGAAAGCGUGGGGAGCGAACAGG
RNAcentral lists this ribosomal RNA (253 nucleotides) under uncultured bacterium. Its description in RNAcentral is "partial 16S ribosomal RNA". It matches the Rfam family "Bacterial small subunit ribosomal RNA", at positions 524 to 776 of the family's 1533-position model. The record is from RNAcentral.